AUCCAGAUGACAAGUCCCAAAUUGAACGAAACAUGCGUCUUGGAU
RNAcentral lists this non-coding RNA (45 nucleotides) under Schistosoma margrebowiei. Lineage: Eukaryota; Metazoa; Platyhelminthes; Trematoda; Strigeidida; Schistosomatidae. The record is from RNAcentral.